AUUUCCUCCUUCUCACCAUAAACUCUAAACACAAUACACCAAAAAAACCUUCAAACUAAUAAAAUUUUCCACCUCAACAAACUUUUCAAAAUAAAUCAAUCUCAUUUUUUAACAAUUUUCAAAAAAACAUACCAUCUAAACCUCCUCAAAUUAACCAAUUACUAAAAACAAUACAUUUUCUUUCAUAAUAUUCUCAUAUAUACCUCCUCAUUUUCAAUUAACAAAA
RNAcentral lists this unclassified non-coding RNA (226 nucleotides) under Hevea brasiliensis (rubber tree). Lineage: Eukaryota; Viridiplantae; Streptophyta; Magnoliopsida; Malpighiales; Euphorbiaceae. The record is from RNAcentral.